UCCUCUGUUUGUAGACUUGGAUAGAAAGGAACUCGGGGAGGUAAAGCUUAAUAAAGCACACUUUAAUUAUAACGAGUCGUGGAAUGUUUCAGAAACACAAGAACGCGUGAUGGACAUGUAUGGACGUGACAGGUUCGUGUCCCUUCUGCGAAUGAAGCAUUUAGGAGGAAACCGACGUCGGAUGCUUAAAAUAAUCAUGCUGUAGUAACAAAAAUGCAACCAGAAAGUUGGAACAAAAGCCAGAGUGUCAACGGUGGAAAUGUUUCCGUAAACGGCGUGAGCUGCCAGUCGAGUGCAGUGUUUGUUACAAAUGGCGUAACUGGACAUGUUCAUACAAACAGUGCAGCUCUGACUACAGCUACGACUUGUCCAAGUGACGUCAAGGCAGUUUCCAAUGGCCAGACUUCGCUUAUACCAGCAGCAACUAUGUCAGAUUCUGCUCCAAAUAAUCAAACUUUUACACUGAGUUCCUGUAAACCACAAACGGUGAUGACUGUGCCUAAAUCACCUGGUUCUAUAAUGCAGAAAUCUGUUGUAAUUUCAUCUAGUUUAAAUAGCGAGAUAACUACAAAUAUUUUAAAUACGUCUACACAUAUGCCAGCAUCUUUAGACAGUACAGUACCAAAAAUAGUUGUACAUACAAGUAAGCCUGGAGCAAGCGCACAUGUAAUCAUAGGUAGUAAGCCAGUUCAGGAGAGUACAACCAUGACUAGUGCGAACAGCCAUUCCUCAGUUGUCAGCCACUGCCAACCUUUGCAGACUGUAAAUUUAUCGGGACAGACAAGCAUGGGUAAAAGCUUGGCACCUGCACCUCAGACUGGAAUGGCUGCAACAACUUCUGUGGAAUCUACCUCAAAAGUGACAAGAGUAGCCGCCAUCGCUCAAACACCAGGGAAGGGGACUGUACUUGUUGUACCAAGAGUGAGUACUCCUCAGCAGAAUGGAACACCACAGGCUCUACAGACCACUACAAUACAGCUACCUGCGAACUUUCAAAUCCCACAAGGGAUGGUACUUGUCAGAAGUGACAGAGGUCAGCUGAUGUUGGUAUCUCAACAAGCCUUAGCCCAAGCUCAAGCACAAGGGGCUGGACUCCCCAGGCAUGCUGCUACUAUGCCUACUGUACAAGCUUCUACACUGCAGACCACAGGAAUUGCUGUUUCUGCAACAUCAGUUAAAACAGUGAGACCCCCAGCUCCAGCCCCUACCACAGCAGAGGGAUCCAAAGGAAAGUCUGUUGCACAGAGCACUGUCACUGCAGAGACAGUAGAUAAUGCAAAAAAGUGCAAGAAUUUUCUCGUGACAUUAAUUAAGUUAGCCUCCAGCGGAACCCAUUCUGCUGAAAUGGCAAAGAAUGUUACGGAGCUGGUGCGGAACCUUCUGGAUUCAAAAAUCGAACCAGAGGAAUUUACGAACAGAUUGUAUAAUGAACUGAAGUCCUCCCCACAGCCUUAUCUUGUGCCUUUCCUCAAGAAAAGUUUACCAGCAGUUCGUCAGCUGACCCCAAACUCUCAGCUCUUCAUCCAGCAGUGUGUUCUGCAGAAAGGUGGCAUUAUCUCCACAGCUGCAAUCACAGCGCAACAAGCUGUGAAACAGACUUGUGUAACAGUGGUUGCCAACAGCAAAACCAUAGAACCUGCAGAGCUUGCACACCCACCAAAGCCAGCACAGCUGAUAGUUCAGCAACCAAGAGUUGUGAUAAAACCACCAGCAAGCACUGCGCAGUCCCAGCAAUCAGCACAGAUUGUGAACAGAAUCCAGCUCAAGACCCCAGUGACAACCACUCUCCGGCCCAGUCCGUGUCCUUCAGGUACUGUUGUAAAGCAGGCAGCAGUUCUUGGACCUAAAGCGAUCCGUGUGCAUUUCAAAGAAAAUGGAGCAGCCCUUUUCAGAGAUGAAGAUGACAUCAAUGACGUGGCUUCUAUGGCUGGAGUCAACUUGAAUGAAGAGAAUGAAUGUAUCUUAGCCACAAACUCUGAGCUGGUGGGAUCGGUAAUAAGAUCCUGCAGAGAUGAGCCAUUUCUUCUAAUGUCUGCCCUGCAAAAGAACAUUUUGGAAACAGGUAAGAGACAUGGCAUUACAGAAGUAAAUCUGGAUGUUGUGAGUCUUGUCUCUCAUGCCACACAGGAGCGCUUACGGACACUGGUAGAAAAAAUGACUGUGGCAGCACAACAUCGGACAAGAUCAUACAAGGUAUUCUUUCUGUCCUCAUUCAGAAAGUUCCAGGUAAUCAAAAUGACCUGAUGUUAAGGGUUUAGCAUGUUUAACUUCUGUAGACCACACUGUUACAAACCACUGGAAAAAGACACAGGACUGCAUUUUAAGGUGAGUAAUAAUACCAGUGCAUGUCUAUUAGAUGCCGACUUUAAACAAAAUUCAUGGUGUUGGGUAACUGUAUUUUCUGUCAAUGGUUCGUAAUCCAAACUAAAACUUCCAAACUUAUAACCCUGUGUUUCUUUGCACCCAACAAACAUUUGCUAUAAUUUAUGCCUUUAGAAAAAGCAGCAGUUUCUUUUUUUAUUGUAACAGAGACCUUCCUAUCAUAGUACUUUUUAAUAGCCAAACAGUAUAAAUUACAUGGCAAAAGAGUUGGAAAAGUUUUAAGUAUGUCAGGGAAAGACUGUGCGAUGGUGGGGCAAUGAAGGCUGAAGGUUAAUUACCCCUCUGAGAAUAUAGUAAAUGAUUUAGAUUAAAAAUACCACAUUUGUCCCUGCUCAAAAUUAGAACCAGUACUCAAAGUCUCACCACAAAAGACUGCUUUAGAACUGCUCACAAACAUGCUUACUUUGCAUUAACAUUUUUAGGUUUCCAUUAACAUGAAUACUUUUUAAUACAAUAGGUAAUACAACAUACAUAGGUUUAACUAGUCAGUGAAACAUUAGAAACCUCAGAACUUCCAUCCACUAAUCAGGAAGCACAGUGAGAUUGCACUACCUUAAGUUAGAUGACCAGAGACAACUGGUUCCCAACCUUUUUGGGUGUGCGGACCCCUUCUGAACCCCCCAAAAUUUUGCGGACCACCAUAUGCUUCUGUCAUAGUGACACACAGUCGCUGUACAAGGAAUUCCGAUUUAUUUUGCUUUACACUAUAGUACGGAAUUGAUACCCGAUGCCAUAUGAAAAACUUACCUAAUGAUGGCUGGUGCUGUUUCAGCGAUGUCACAGUCUGAAUGUCCGAUUUGGAGUGGUGACGAUUUGGAAUGUUUUAGCUUUAAAUCUGGUUCCACAUCCAGCCUACUCCUGUACUUUGAAUUCAACGCAACAAACGCAGAAAUUCCACUUUCACAAGAGUAUAUGGUGGCGAACGUAUAACCAGAUGCCAGUCAGAUUUCGUUGCGUGAAGACUAAAGAGCUGUUGCAUGAAAGCUCUGUUAGACUGUCUUACUCCUUUUGAUGUCAAGUUCAUGUGCAUUUCACUGUCAACAUUCACAAAUGGGUUUCUAAUUCACUUGUUUUUUUUUUGAGUCUUUUCUAAGUAGCACCGAAGAGUAGCUAGCUUCAAAGUUUUGUUCGUCAACACCUCGUAACAUACAACAUGCAGUGGUCAUGGCUCCUCUUCGCUACCGGUCCAAGUAAAUCCCAUUUCCAAGUAUGUAUCAUUGUACAUCUGCAUGUUGCGUUUAGUCUCUCUCUCUGUUGCAGGGUUUCACUUGAUACUCCACCAGUGGCGACUCGUGAAUUUUUUGGACAGGAUGAUAGUAGAAACUUACUGCUGAAUGACACUCGAUCUCAGCUGAAGUUCUUUGAGCAGCUUGAUCGUGUGGAAAAACAAAGAAA
RNA transcript from Polyodon spathula (Mississippi paddlefish), 3777 nucleotides. It is a transcript of the gene named transcription initiation factor TFIID subunit 4-like, with no coding region annotated. NCBI's taxonomy places the organism in Eukaryota, Metazoa, Chordata, Actinopteri, Acipenseriformes, Polyodontidae. The record is from RefSeq and is a predicted model, not a curated record. The transcript is spliced from 12 exons.